RNAcentral lists this ribosomal RNA (773 nucleotides) under Salmonella enterica subsp. enterica serovar Bredeney. Its description in RNAcentral is "partial 23S ribosomal RNA". It matches the Rfam family "Bacterial large subunit ribosomal RNA", at positions 417 to 1191 of the family's 2925-position model. RNAcentral also lists the same sequence under 1 other name. The record is from RNAcentral. Lineage: Bacteria; Pseudomonadati; Pseudomonadota; Gammaproteobacteria; Enterobacterales; Enterobacteriaceae.
GCGGGACACGUGGUAUCCUGUCUGAAUAUGGGGGGACCAUCCUCCAAGGCUAAAUACUCCUGACUGACCGAUAGUGAACCAGUACCGUGAGGGAAAGGCGAAAAGAACCCCGGCGAGGGGAGUGAAAAAGAACCUGAAACCGUGUACGUACAAGCAGUGGGAGCACCCUUUGGGGUGUGACUGCGUACCUUUUGUAUAAUGGGUCAGCGACUUAUAUUCUGUAGCAAGGUUAACCGAAUAGGGGAGCCGGAGGGAAACCGAGUCUUAAUUGGGCGUUAAGUUGCAGGGUAUAGACCCGAAACCCGGUGAUCUAGCCAUGGGCAGGUUGAAGGUUGGGUAACACUAACUGGAGGACCGAACCGACUAAUGUUGAAAAAUUAGCGGAUGACCUGUGGCUGGGGGUGAAAGGCCAAUCAAACCGGGAGAUAGCUGGUUCUCCCCGAAAGCUAUUUAGGUAGCGCCUCGUGAAUUCAUCUCCGGGGGUAGAGCACUGUUUCGGCUAGGGGGCCAUCCCGGCUUACCAACCCGAUGCAAACUGCGAAUACCGGAGAAUGUUAUCACGGGAGACACACGGCGGGUGCUAACGUCCGUCGUGAAGAGGGAAACAACCCAGACCGCCAGCUAAGGUCCCAAAGUCAUGGUUAAGUGGGAAACGAUGUGGGAAGGCCCAGACAGCCAGGAUGUUGGCUUAGAAGCAGCCAUCAUUUAAAGAAAGCGUAAUAGCUCACUGGUCGAGUCGGCCUGCGCGGAAGAUGUAACGGGGCUAAACCAUG